UACGUAGGGAGCAAGCGUUGUCCGGAAUCAUUGGGCGUAAAGCGCGUGUAGGUGGCCAUUUAAGUCCGCUGUGAAAGUCAAAGGCUCAACCUUUGAAAGCCGGUGGAUACUGGGUGGCUAGAGUACGGAAGAGGCGAGUGGAAUUCCUGGUGUAGCGGUGGAAUGCGCAGAUAUCAGGAGGAACACCAAUAGCGAAGGCAGCUCGCUGGGACGUUACUGACACUGAGGCGCGAAAGCGUGGGGAGCGAACAGG
RNAcentral lists this ribosomal RNA (253 nucleotides) under uncultured bacterium. RNAcentral's name for it is "partial 16S ribosomal RNA". It matches the Rfam family "Bacterial small subunit ribosomal RNA", at positions 524 to 776 of the family's 1533-position model. The record is from RNAcentral.